UGGAAAGAAGUUGUCUUUUGCAAGAAAACUAUCACAUCUUCUUUAACCAAUACCUCCUCCCUCUCUCUCUCUCUCUCUCUCUCUCUCUCUCUCUCUCUCUCACACACACAUUUUCCCAAGAAGUCCUUUUCCAUCUGUCACCAAAAGGAAAUGUAAAAGAAAGGAUUUUCUGGUCCUUCUAUAAAAUCAAAAGAGUCCAGGAUAUCUCCGGAGAUGAUCUUACAUAAUUUGGGACUAAAUUCAAAUCCUUAGCUUAUUAACUCUAGAUGCCAUUUAAGGAACAAAUGCACUUUUUCAAACUGUUUACUUCUUUUGUAUUAAAGUGUAACAAGCAACAUGAUGGAUAAAAAGUGAGAUUAAAAAAGAGUUUGAAUCCUACGUCAAGGGGACUCCUCCUUCAUUUGAGGACUUUUGAAAUCUUCUACUUAAUCUUCUUCUCCUUAUUCCUCUCCCUUAUUCUAGCCAUAUUUAUUAGAUAACCUCCGCAUCUCAGCCACCUUAGAGAGGAAAAGCAUAAAAAGUAGAGAGAUAAGCUUAUUGAGUCAAGUGUGAGUUAAAAUUUGUACUCCUGAAUUUUAACCUUGUGGCGGUAAAGCCACUUUUGUUUAUUAAAGUAGAAAGGUAGCAAGAUAGAGGACAAAUUCAAUUUGAACUCUACCACCUUAGGAGAAUUCAAUUUCAAUUUGAAUUCCACUGAAAGAUAAUUCAAAUUCAAGUUGAACUCCACCUAAGGAGAAUCCAAUUUCAAUUUGAACUCUACUACCCAUAUGCAUCUAUAAAUAUGCACAUCUCCUCACUUUGAAAAUCAUCCCAUUUUGAAUAAGGGCUUUAUUCAUUCUCAUGUAGAAGCCAAAUCUAUUCUUAGUGUGAGAAACAGAGAGAGAGAGAACGAGAAUAUUAGAGAGAGAGAGAGUUAGAAAUGGUCUUUUCUAAAUAUUUGUGUCUUUCCUUUGUAUUACAUUUAUUGGCAUGAGAAGCAAAGAGAGAGUAGGAGAAUAUUAGAGAGAUAAUGAAGAAAAGGUUUCUCCUAAAUAUUCAUGUCUUUCCUUUAUGAGAAACAGAGAGGGAGAAAAUGAGAGUAUUAGAGAGAGAAAAAGAGUCUUUCCUAAAUAUGUGUAUCUUUCCUUUGUAGAGAGAGUAUGUUUUCUCCUAUUAUAAGAGAUAAGGUAUUGUCAAAUUUUAGAGAGAAAUUAUUAUUUAUAUUCUUUUGCUAUAAUGAAAUCCUUCUACAAUUGCCAAUUAUUUUGUGUGUAUUUUUAUCUGAGUAUUUUACAUGCAAAUUUUUCAUUUUUAUAAUUUCGACUUCAGCUGUAAUUGUGUGCCAUACAACACAAUUUCCUAACAGUGGUAUCAGAGCCUGGUUCGUAGGUAUCUGCAACAAUGGCGGUGAAGUGCCAAAAAAAAAAAAAAAAUUCAAUGGGAAUAAUUUUCCAUUGUGGUAAAUGAGAAUGAAAGCAGCUUUAAGAAAAGAUAACUGCUUGGUGGCAAUUGAAGAAAGGCCCGCGGAGAUCGUUGACGACGGCAAGUGGAACGAGAUGGAUGACAAUGCUAUUGCUAAUCUGCACCUAGCACUAGCCAAUGAAGUUUUGUUAAACGUGCAGAAAAAAAGAGGGCAAAAGAAAUAUGGGACACUCCUAAAGAAAAAUCUAUUGUCUUUGGAACAAUUAGAUAAUAGUGGGUGCAAAACCCAUAUUUAAGAUGGGAUCAUGAAUAUAAUUAAAGGCGCGCUUAUGGUGAUGAAAGCAGAAAAGAUAGCUGUAAAUCUGUACAUGUUUAAAGGAGAAACACAACAAGAAGGAGAAGCAUCUAUAGCGUCGGCAAGCUCUACAAAAGAAUCAACGAUGAUGUGGCACCAUAACCUUGGCCAUACGUCGGAAUGAGGUUUGAAGAUUCUUACUGAACAAAAGCUUCUUUCAAGGCUCAAAAAGUUUUCAUUACCAUUUUGUGAGCAUUGUGUUAUUAGUAAGCAGCACCGAUUAAAGUUUAGCAGUUCUAAUGCUAGAAGCAAAGCUAUCUUAGAGUUGAUCUACUCCGAUGUUUGGCAAUCACCAAUUCUGUCCCUAGGAGGUGCAAGAUAUUUUGUAUCUUGUAUUGAUUACUUCAGGAGAUGUUGGGUGUAUCCAGUCAAAAGGAAAGCGGAUGUAUUUCCAGUUUUCAAAAUAUUCAAAGCACGGUUGAAACUUGAAUCUGAAAAGAAGAUCAAGUGUUUGAGAAUGGACAAUGGAGGUGAAUAUAUUGGUGAAGAAUUUGAUAGCCUCUGUUAAUAAGAAGGUAUCAACAGGCAGUUGUGGCGUACACUCCACAGUAAAAUGGAGUAACAGAGCAGAUGAAUAGAAUCUUGUUGGAACAGACAAGAGUGAUGUUGAGAACGGCAGGGAUGACCAAGUCAUUUUGGGUAGAAGCAGUUAAGACCGCCUGCUAUGUGAUCUAACGGACACCAUCAACCGCAAUUGUUCUGAAAAUACAGAUGGAGAUGUGGACUGGUAAGCCAGCUGAUUAUUCGUGCUUACAUAUAUUUGAAAGUCCUGUUUUUGUUAUAUACAACACUCAAGAAACAUCAAAGCUGGAUGUUCUUAGGGCAUGCUGAUGGAGUUAAGGGGUAUCGCCUGUGGGAUCCCACUGCCCACAAGGUAAUAAUCAGCAGAGAUGUAAAAAUUGCAUGUCUUCAUGAAAAACAUGAAGAAGAGAUUUACAUGCUCCAACUAGGAGGUUUUUGAAGAAAAAGAAAAGGAGAACUUGGUUUGCAGUAGGUUGAACAAAUCUCUAUAUGAUCUCAAAUAAGCGUCGAAAUGUUGGUAUAAGAGAUUUGAUUCCUUCAUCAUGAGCCUUGGAUACAAUAGACUUAGUUCAGAUCCUUGUGUUUACUACAAGGGAUUUGGUGAUGAUGAUUUCAUUAUUUUGCUAUUGUAUGUUGACGACAUGUUGAUAGCAGACCCAAACAAAGAUCGUCUUAAAGAUUUGAAGGCACAGUUGGCUAGGGAGUUUGAAUGAAGGACUUGGGACCAACAAAAAAGAUUCUAGGGAUGCGAAUUUAUCGAGACAGAAAUAAUAGAAAGAUUUGGCUUUUUGAGAAGAAUUACUUGAAGAAAAUUUUGCAGCAUUUCAACAUGCAAAAUUGUAAGCCAAUUCUUAUCCUUCUUCCUAUUAAUUUCAAGUUAUCCUCAAGUAUUCACCCUAGCAAUAAAAAAGAGAGGAUGGAAAUGUCUCGAGUACCAUAUGCAUGAGCAGUGGGUAACUUAAUGUUUACUAUGGUAUGCAAAAAACCAGACAUUGUACAAGCAGUUGGAGCGGUUAGUCGGUACACGGCGAAUCCUGGUAGAGAAAGCAUUGGAAUGUUGUGAAGAGGAUCCUAAAAUAUGUGAAGGGUACCUCAAAUGUUGCAUUAUGUUAUGAAGGAUCAGACUUUAGAUUCUCCAUUGGCCUAGCAGAAACAUGAGUAGCAUGAGAAUGAAAUGGCAAGUAGAAAGGAUAGAAGGGCUAAAGCAAAAGUGACUUUAAGUGGGAGAUAUGUGGCGGUAAAGCCACUUUUGUUGACAGAAGUAGAAAGAUAGCAAGAUAGAGGACAAAUUCAAUUUGAAAUCUACCACUUUAGGAGAAUUUAAUUUCAGUUUGAAUUCCACCGAAAGAGAAUUCAAAUUCAAGUUGAACUCCUUCUAAGGAGAAUUCAAUUUCAAUUUGAACUCUACUACCCAUAUGCAUCUAUAAAUAUGCACAUCUCCUCACUUUGAAAAUCAUCCCAUUUUGAAGAAGGGCUCAAUUCAUUCUCAUGUAGAAGCCGAAUCUAUUCUUGGUGUGAGAAACAUGAGAAACAGAGAGAGAGAAGGAGAAUAUUAGAGAGAGAGAGUUAGAAAUUGUCUUUCCUAAAUAUUAGAGAGAGUAGGAGAAUAUUAGAGAGAUAAUGAAGAAAAGGUUUCUCUUAAAUAUUCGUAUAUUUCCUCUGUGAGAAAUAGAGAAGGAGAAAAGGCGAGUAUUAGAGAGAACAGGCGAGUAUUAGGAGAAAAGGUUUCACUAUCUUUCUUUUAUAGAGAGAGUGUGUUUCCUUCUAUUAUAAGAGAGAAUGCAUACCGACACAAGAUUUUAACCGGAAGGAGGUCAAGAAUGCAAACUAUCAGACAAACUGUUGGGCUUGCUGGCUUCCGUAAGAGGGAUGAGAGUGCACAUGAUGCUUUUGGAUCUGGUCAUAUUUCUAUUAGUAUUUCAGCUGGUCUACGUGACCCAAUCAACUGUGCUAUACUUUACAUUUACUCUUUUAUUUUUUAUUUAUUUAUUUAUUAUUAUUUUUUUCCCCCUCAAUUUUGGGCUGAUAGGUAAUUUUUUUUGGGCUAUUUGAAUUUCAGGAAUGGCAGUUGCUAGAGACAUGUGUCAGGACCCGUCCAGAAUUCCUUCCCCGGAACCCUAGACAGCCCUGAUCCCAGGGAAACCCUAUCGAACCCUCCAACGAAAAAUCCGGCAGAGCCUCCCCUAAGGGAUUUACUUACCACAAAUUACCUGCACUGAAAACACACUUCUAACAACAUCCCCUUAUUCCUCCCACAGACUACAAAUUAUUUCCACAAAUUUCAGCACUUCAGUAUAAAACAACAGCAGCAACCCAGUGCAUAAAGAACAACUACACGUCCAAUACAGUAUACAAAGCAUUAUACAACAAAUAUGGAAUUUAUAAAAUGACAGAUAAAGAAGUAAUACAAGAUAGAGAGGAAAAAAAAGGGAAGAAAUACUUCUUGGACCUUCGGCACGAACUGAGACGUUGGGCUCGCCUCGGACAAUCAACGUCUCCAACCUGGACCUAGGGGAACGAAAUUUAAGAGUGUGAGAUGCUAAUCAUCUCAGUGAGUGACCCUAUCUACUACACAAUAUAAUAUCACAGAAUAAUAAUUAAUUGGAAAUAAUAAUUUCUCUCAAAA
Molecule: RNA transcript, 4904 nt
Organism: Ziziphus jujuba (common jujube)
Lineage: Eukaryota; Viridiplantae; Streptophyta; Magnoliopsida; Rosales; Rhamnaceae
Exons: 2
Source: RefSeq, a predicted model, not a curated record